Trifolium pratense (red clover) is the source of this 76-nucleotide small nucleolar RNA. NCBI's taxonomy places the organism in Eukaryota, Viridiplantae, Streptophyta, Magnoliopsida, Fabales, Fabaceae. The record is from RefSeq and is a predicted model, not a curated record.
CGUGUGUCUAUGAUGGUGUUAUUAAAUAUACUUUGAGAUUUAUUUCUAUGAAUACAAUUUAACUCUGAGGCACCGA